This 1073-nucleotide long non-coding RNA is filed under the name Citrus x clementina. RNAcentral describes it as "Citrus clementina (C. clementina) long non-coding RNA (CCLE_LNC001681)". The record is from RNAcentral. Lineage: Eukaryota; Viridiplantae; Streptophyta; Magnoliopsida; Sapindales; Rutaceae.
GUGGGCCAGCCCCACCCCCCAAAGCUAUAGCCCACCCGUUUUUGUGGCCUUUUGCCGCUGGACGAAAUUGGCGCCCCGGCCUUCUAGCGGUUAUUUUUGGGCGCGGCUUUGUCCGCGGCCUAUUUUUGGCAUACGGAGGCCCCUCGCCAAGUCUCGCGGCAUUCCGAGUCCGGCGGACGAAGAUGGCCAGCCCCACCGCCCAAGGCUAUAGCCCACCCGUUUUUGUGGCCUUUUUGCGCUGGACGAACUUGGCGCCCCGGCCUUCGGGCUUUUAUUUUUGCGCACGGCUUUGCCCGCGGCCUAUUCUUGGCACACGGAGGCCCCUCGCAAAGUCUCGCGGCAUUCCGAGUCCGGCGGACGAAGUUUGCCAGCCCCACCCCCCAAGGCUAUAGCCCACCCGUUUUUGUGGCCUUUUUGCGCUGGACGAACAUGGCACCCCGGCCUUCGGGCGUUUAUUUUUGCGCGCGGCUUUGCCCGCGGCCUAUUUUUGGCACACGGAGGGACCUCGCAAAGUCUCGCGGCAUUCCGAGUCCGGCGGACGAAGUGGGCCAGCCCCACCCAAGGCUAUAGCCCACCCGUUUUUGUGGCCUUUUUCCACUGGACGAACUUGGCGCCCCGGCCUUCGGGCGUGUAUUUUUGGGCGUGGCUUUGCCCACGGCCUAUUUUUGGCACACGGAAGCGCCUCGCAAAGUCUCGCGGCAUUCCGAGUCCGUCGGACGAAGUUGGCCAGCCCCACCCCCCUAGGCUAUAGCCCACCGUUUUUGUGGCCUUUUUGCGCUGGACGAACUUGGCGCCCCGGCCUUCGGGCGGUUAUUUUUGGGCGCGGCUUUGCCCGCGGCCUAUGUUUGGCACACGAAGGGUCCUCACAAAGUCUCGCGGCAUUCCGAGUCAGGCAGACGAAGUGGGCCAGCCCCACCCCCCAAGGCUAUAGCCCACUCGUUUAUGUGGCCUUUUUCCGAUGGACGAACUUGGCACCCCGGCCUUCGGGUGGUUAUUUUUGGGCGCGGCUUUUCCCGCAGCCUAUGUUUGGCAUACGGAGGCCCCUCGCAAAGUCUCGCGGCAUUCCAAGUCCG